This 340-nucleotide unclassified non-coding RNA is filed under the name uncultured fungus. RNAcentral's name for it is "partial contains 5.8S ribosomal RNA and internal transcribed spacer 2". The stretch from base 1 to 134 matches the Rfam family "5.8S ribosomal RNA", at positions 22 to 154 of the family's 154-position model. Lineage: Eukaryota; Fungi. The record is from RNAcentral.
UGGUUCUGGCAUCGAUGAAGAACGCAGCGAAAUGCGAUAAGUAAUGUGAAUUGCAGAAUUCAGUGAAUCAUCGAAUCUUUGAACGCACAUUGCGCCCGCUAGCUAAUCUAGCAGGCAUGCCUGUUCGAGCGUCAUUUCAACCCUCAAGCGCUGCUUGCUUGGUGUUGGAGUUUCUGCAGAAGCUAGUACUUCUGCAGGCUCUGAAAUAUAGUGGCGGACUCGCUGGGGCUCCGAGCGUAGUAGUUUAUCUUUCUCGCUUAGGACGUCUUAGCGUGCGCUUGCCGUUAAACCCCUUAUAUUACAAAAGGUUGACCUCGGAUCAGGUAGGAUUACCCGCUGA